ACCGUGCAAAGGUAGCAUAAUCACUUGCCUAUUAAUUGUAGGCUAGAAUGAAAGGACAAACGAGAAUACACCUGUCUCCUUUAAGCCCUUAAAAAUUUAUCUUUAAGUGAAGAAGCUUAAAUUCAUAUGCAGGACAAGAAGACCCUAUAGAGCUUUACCUAAAAUCUACAUAAAUAGUAGCUAGCGGUUCGGUUGGGGCGACCGGGGGACAUUCAUCACCCCCCAAACUAAAAGAUAUACCUAUCCCACCAAAGAUCCUUACUCAAGAUCAAAGAAUCAAGCUACCUUAGGGAUAACAGGCUAAUCCUCUUAGAGAGCCCUUAUCGACAAGAGGGGUU
RNAcentral lists this ribosomal RNA (338 nucleotides) under Tubifex tubifex (sludge worm). RNAcentral's name for it is "partial 16S ribosomal RNA". It matches the Rfam family "Bacterial large subunit ribosomal RNA", at positions 1945 to 2519 of the family's 2925-position model. Lineage: Eukaryota; Metazoa; Annelida; Clitellata; Tubificida; Naididae. The record is from RNAcentral.